This 7369-nucleotide long non-coding RNA is filed under the name Aquilegia coerulea. Its description in RNAcentral is "long non-coding RNA (ACOE_LNC001527)". The record is from RNAcentral. Lineage: Eukaryota; Viridiplantae; Streptophyta; Magnoliopsida; Ranunculales; Ranunculaceae.
GUUACUAAUGACAAUGGUUUAGUUGAAAGAUUAUAUGGUUUGGCACCUGUUUGCAAAUAUUUUGUUCAGAAUGAAGAUGGAGUAUCACUGUUUCCAAUCAUGCUUUUGAUUCAGGAUAAGGUCUUUAUGGAUAGCUGGUAAGUUGGUAAUAGAUGAACUCAUCACCAAAUAAUUCAUGGCUCCAACUAUGUAUAAAUCUUCUAUUUAUGUUGUGUUAGGUGUCAUUUGAAAGAUGCAGUUCUUGAAGGAGGAAUUCCAUUCAACAAGGCCCAUGGCAUGCAGGUGUUCGAGUACCCUGGAUUAAACCCAAGAUUCAAUCAAGUCUUCAACAGAGCAAUGUUCGAUCACACGACAAUAGUAAUGAAAAAAAUACUAGAGACAUACAAAGGUUUUGAGAACCACAAAGAGAUUAUCGAUGUGGGCGGUGGGGUUGGAACCACAAUUAGCUUAAUCACUGCUAAAUAUCCUACAAUUAAGGGUAUUAACUUUGAUUUGCCACACGUCAUAGAACAUGCACCAUCUUAUCCUGGUAUUGUAUUUUUGUUCAAUUUAAUUUAUAUAUGGUUAACCAUGAACAUUUAUUUGGCAUGGUGCAAGUCAUGUAAUUCUGACAUUUUUUUCCCAGGAGUGGAACAUGUUGGUGGAGAUAUGUUUGAAAGUGUUCCCAACGCUGAAGCCAUUUUCAUGAAGGUGAGGCAUCAUUUCAUAAAAAGCAUGAACUUAGUUAAUAGCAACAGUAGUAAAUAUGAACAUAUUAUAAACACAUUUUUAUUUCUUUUGCCGUGCAGUGGAUACUUCACGAUUGGAAUGACGAGAACAACGUAAAUUUAUUGAAGAAUUGUUACAAAGCAUUACCUGAUCAUGGAAAAGUUAUAGUAGUGGAGUUAGUUUUACCUGUUGCAGCUGAGAAUACUACUGCCGCGAAGAGCCUAGGCCAAACAGACCUUAUUAUGUUAUCGCAAAGUCCAGGAGGAAAAGAAAGAACCGAGGAAGAAUUUUUUACAUUAGCAAAACAAGCUGGCUUUGCUUCUGUAAAGACAGUGUGUUCAGUUUAUAGUUUUUCAGUGAUUGAGUUUUAUAAAAACAAGAAAUAAACAUAAUGUAAUUUCUUUUAUGAUUAAAUUGUUCUCUACUGUUAUUUCCGCCAAUUUUCAUGUCGUGUAACUUUAAUAAUUUUUAUACAUCAUCAUUUUCAUAUGAAGUCAGACAUUAAUUGUACAUUUACACAUCUUAGAUCUUACAAUUCUCCUUAAGGAUAUGAUCUUUAGAGGGAGUUGACAAAUAGGAUCAACAAACCAAAUGCUUACAGUAUGAUCCUAUUGUCCCCUGCAGAACAAAUACGAUCAACAAACCAAAUGAAGUACAAGAUCUUUAACCAUCCUGUUAGGCUGUAGGAACCUUUAGAACUCUUUCAUAUAUAUAAGAACAGAAUGGAGGAACCUUUAGAACUCAUUGCCUUUGGUUUUGUUCUUCAUAAAUGACGAUUUUAUUGAUUAGGCCAAAAGCAGGUUACAGAGAGGGCGUGUACAAAGAGAGUUUCACCAAAUGAAAUUAAAACCAAGGAAACAUGAUUACACUAGAAUUAGAGACGGUAUGGCACACUGACAUUAUCAGGGUUCCUGAUCAAUUUGUCAGUUAUCACAGCAAAUCUUUCCAUGGCAGAUUUGGGCAAAUAAACUGUUACAACAAUCCCAUCUUCACCUUUGUUGUUCUUUGAUGGUAGAAAGAAGCUGCCAGGGGGACCAUGUCCCGUCGGGCCACCAUACAGUGGUCUUCCCCACCCAAAGUCAAUGUCUUGGAAGCCUGCACGUGUUAAAUCAGACACGUAGUAGGUUCCUGCAAUAAUAAACUGGGGUCGUCCCUCUUUAACCAUUAGAUCUAUGGACGAUCUCAUAAACUCGUCAGUCACCUGUGUUUUUGCUGUUUUAAUCAACUGCAAUGAGUACCCUAACGGAUUGUCGCACAGUUUAUUGGCAGUUGUCGAUGCCACGAAAAACCCAACAGCAUUACCGUAGAAUCCAAGUGGCAAAGGUGGGUUGAAUUUUGAACGUGCAUCCACGAAACAUGCAAAGCGAACUUCCUCAUCAGGAUCAAGAUUGAGUGCAAUCGUUCGGCAUCUCCAAAGGCUUGCUGCAAGUAUAUCAAAUGUGGAGCACUUGGAAAGGUAAUGUGACACUUUAUUUCUUACGGCCGCUAUUUCUUUUAGACUAAAGAAGUAGGGGCGACGAACAAACUCGACCAUGUCAUCAAGGGGCCUGUCUUUUGUUUGGUGCAAUUCUUUGUACACAUGAUGUACGCAUGUUACUUCUGGUGGGUCUCGUGCAGUAAGAACUUCCCGUUCCCAUAUAGGCUGAACUGAUGGAACUAGUCCACCACGUGCAAACUCACUUACAGCUAUCAGGAAUUGUACCAUCCCAGUUCCAUCACACAUUGUGUGGUUUAGACGAAUGCCAAAGAUAAAUCCUCCACAUAUUAAACGAGUCACCUGCAAGGUUUAUUCAAGGAGUCAAGACCGUUAGCCCGCUUGGUUUUUUUAUUUCAUAUAAUAGUGAAGCUUUUCCAAGUUGAUGUUUGCGACAAAAUCAAAAGAACUACUCAGAUAGCUAGUAAGGUUUAUACCUGUAUCAACAACAAAGGGCAGUUAAGCAUACCAUCAGAGCCCGGGACAUCAUAGAUGAAAUCAUCUGAACCUGGGAAAGGUGGGUGAAAAACAUCACCAAAUUGUUCUAAACUCACAUUAGCAUUGGCUUCAAUGAACAUAACACCUUCGCCAGUGCAUUCAACUAUAAGCUUAUCAUUAGGACCUUCUUUAAGCCGACCUGCUAACGGGUAGUAAUAAACAAGUGUUUCCGCAAUUGCCUUUUUGAUAACUUUCACUGGAUCUCUGCCUAGCAUUCCUACAGCAUUCUGGUAAAAAAAAAUAAUUCCAAGUUGAAUCCGUAGACCCUUUUGAUCAUCAAGAUCUGAAAGGGUCUUGAAUUCAUAUGGUGUUGGCUUUGCAGGAGCAACUAAUACAGGCUCACUCCUAUCUACUUUGAAGACUAACGACGAUGUUGCCAUGGUCUGCCAAUAUAAUCAGUUACAAGUUUUGAGACCGAUCAAAAGCAAGUGUAUGAUAUGAUUGAAUGUUGAAGAAAAUGUUUAUAAAGAUGUAUAUGCCUCAGCUUAGCAAUUUGCUAUAACCAACAACAUUAAACCAGACCAGGCAUUGUUUUAAAAGAUGGUUGACAAAAUAUAUAGAUAAAGACAGCUGGAAGAGUUGACAAUGUAAAAUUUAUAGAAAUUGCACUAAAUUGUUCUCCAUCAUUUGGCACACAAGAUUCAUAUGCAUUCCUAUAUAAAAAUUCCUUUGGUACUUUUUAAUUCCAUGAGAUAAUUUCUUUUAGAAAGAAUUAAAUAAUUUGGUUACAAACAUGAGGAAUUACACAAAAGUAGAGGACAAGCGCACUACAAACUGCACUGCAAGUCCCUUCUGAAUCGUGAACCCUAUUAUCCUAAACAAGUUAGGGAACCCGUGCUACGCACCGGAGCAGGAGAAAGAGCUCCAAACCUCUAUAUUUUGAUUUCUCUAUCUUUUAUUAUUAUUACUUAUGAUUGAUUAAUUUAUGUUUGGCUAAUUUUUGUGCGUGUUUUUUUUUGGGGGGGUGAUUUAGGUUUUGGCCACCGUAAGUUUAUACUAAUUAGGUUUUGGAGUCUUUUUUCUUUGGUAAUUAGGCUUUGACGAUCAACCAAGUUGAACCAAACAACAAUUUAAAAUAGCUAAAAUACCCUUAUGAAAGUCACAUGUGUUGCACAUGAUUGUUCUUCCCUUCAACUCUUUCUUUUCUUCUCACUUGCCAUAACAAAUUCAUCAAAGCGUAAUUCAUGGAAUAAAAAGUCAAAUACAUAUACAGCAGAAUUUGAGCUUCAAUUGAUUAAAAGAGAAUAAGAAAUUGAAGUAGUUGAGUUUCAAUUAGGGUAACUAUUGUUUGUUGGAGUUCUAAUUUGGUAGAGUGAGAUUGAAGAGGUGAUGAUGAAGAAGAAGAGCAAAGAGAGGAAAGAGUUUGAGGAGAGUGAUGGAGGGAUUAUUGGUGUUAGUGGGCGCUGGUGGUGAGGAAUUGUUUUUUUAUUUUUAUUUUUUGGUUUGGUCGAAUUGUUUUCAAAAAAUAAUUUAUCUUUUUUAUCAUGUGCUUUUACAGGGGCAAUUUCUGGCAUUAAGAAAAUAAUUCCGGUUCAACCGGAUUGAACAUUGGAUGAAAUCCAUGACGUAUGUUCGACUUUGUCCCAUAUUACACAAGCUGGAAGGGUUUUCUUUUUUUUUUUUUUUUUAUUCUUCCCAUCACACAAGCUCCAAAAACAGAACGUGAUGAAAGGGUGAACAGAAACUCAUAAUGUUGCAUUCAUGGGCACAUUUUCUGGAAUUUUAAAAAGCUUUCUGGUUGUUGAAUGAUUCCAUAGACAUUAUACAUAUCCCUAAAAAUCUGUAAUAUGAUCCAAUGAAUUGAUGACUACUAUUUAAUAAAUAUUUUCAAGCUAAAAUAUAAUUAAAAAAAAAAUUGAAAUCCAAGACUUUCACUAAAUUAAAUUUCUAACAUUUAUUAUCUUUUUGUGGUAAAGAAUUAUUAUCUUCAUUCUCUAUUUCUCUCCCAUAUUACAGAUUUUUAGGGAUAUGUAUGACAAAAUCAAUAUUAGAUCUUAUUCAUAAUAUUCGUAGCUAAUUAUUUGGAUAUAUAAUUCAUAUAUUGACCAAUCAAAUUUUUAUUUUUAUUAUUGGUAAAAAAAAAAUUUAGCCAUACAUAUGUUUUCUACCUAAAACACAAGGUGGAGUUUUAAGUUUUAAACGAUAUAUACAUUUAAUAUAUAUAUAUAUAUAUACUAGACAUUUUUUAAAAUUUCGGGGUACGCGUACCCUUACACCCCCAUUGCUAUGGCCCUGUAUUAUUCUACUUGGGUAUGCUGAGAACAAUAAGGCUUAAAGAGUAUUCAACCUUCGUAGUCCAAAAUGAAAUUGCAACUCUCUUAAAUGAGAGAUUUUUCAAUCAUUUAGGUUCAUCGUAUGAUGAAAUAGGUUAUCUCCCAAUUGAAACGAACAGGGGCACAAAGGGCCAUUUGUCAUGAACAUGUUUUCACCGCGCCACAAUCAAUGCCUGUCUCUGGGGAAUAGGCGUCUCCUAGUUGACUGGCUCUAUGCCAGUAUAUAUUUCUUUUUCAAGGAAUAUAAUGUUGGACAUUGGAUGAAGUCCACGACGUAUUUUCGACUUGGUUAGAUUCAAUUCUAUAAUAUAUUUCAAUGUCAAUUGGGGUUUUUUUUUUAUUCUUCCCAUCACACAAGCUCCAAAAACAGAAGGUGAUGAAAGGGUGAUCACAUAUAAUUCCGCAUUCAUCGGCACAUUUUCUGGAAUUUUAAAAAGCUUUCUACUUGUUGAUGAUUCCAUUGAGGCAUAGACAUGAGUUGACUAAAAUUAUUUCAUCACUAAAAGAGUAACAUUUUCUUUUUCUAAUGGGCAGGUUUUUGCUGCUUUCCAGAGACUAAAAAAUGUUUACCAAUAUAGGGAGAAUGUUUCUAAGUUUGACAGAAAAGCAGAUAAGGGUAUUCUACUUGGGUAAGCUGAGAAGGCUUAUUACAAAGUACUCAAUCUUGAUAGUCCGAAAUGAAAUUGCAACUCUCUAAAUUGAGAGAUUUUUCAAUAAUUUAGGUUCAUCGUAAUGAAAUAGGUUCUGUCCCAAUUGAAUAGAACGGGCACAAAUGGUCAUUUGUCAUGAACAUGUUUUCAUUGCGCCAGAAGCAAUGCCAAUCUCUGGGGAAUAAGCAUCUCCUAGCUGACUAGUUCUAUGCCAGUAUAUAUUUUUUUCUUAAGGAAUGUUGCACAUUAGAUGAAGUCGAGGACGUACGUUCGACUUUGUCCCAUGUGUAACAGAUUCAAUUCUAUAAUAUAUUUAAAUGUCAACUGAAAGGGGUUUUUUUUUUCUUCCCAUAACACAAGCUCCAAAAACAGAAGGUGAUGAAAGGGUGAUCAUUAUAUCGCAUUCAUCGGCACAUUUUCUGGAAUUUUAAAAAGCUUCUGCUUGUUGAAUGAUUCCAUAGCCUUAAAGAGUCAACAAAAAUUCUUUCAUCAUUAGAAGAGUAACAAAAAUAUAGUGACUAGGCUCCUGUACAGCCUAUUCGUAUGCGGCUUGGCAGCUCGGCUUGACUCUUGUGAGUAUUUAAGAUUAAAUAUAAGUUUACGCAAAAUUUCCUUAUAAAAAAAAACAACUGGCUCUCAUUGACUUGCAUUAUAUUAACUAUUUUAUCUUAUAAUUAUUUUCGAGAUUACAAAUUUUGCAUGUUGGUACCAGGUUGCGAGAGACUUCACAAGUUUAUUUUAUUUUAAAGACAGGUAUUUAACUGACAGUCUCCUAUGAGCCUUUUAACUAAAGGUCGAAGAUGGGUUCGAUAGAAAUUCCACAAAAAACUUCCAAUGAAGAAGAAGAUAAUUUUUUGUUUGCCAUGCAAUUAGCACAAGUUUCAGUUCUACCUAUGGUUAUGCAAGGGGCAAUUGAGCUCGGUGUGUUUGAUAUCAUAGCUAAAGCAGGUCCAGGUGCCCAACUGUCACCAAAGAUCAUUGCAUCCCAUUUACCUACUCAAAAUCCAAAUGCUCACAGUAUGCUUGAUCGAAUCCUUCGCCUUCUUACCAGCUACGAUGUGCUCAUUUCGUCUGUUGUUACUAAUGACAAUGGUUUAGUUGAAAGAUUAUAUGGUUUGGCACCUGUUUGCAAAUAUUUUGUUCAGAAUGAAGAUGGAGUAUCACUGUUUCCAAUCAUGCUUUUGAUUCAGGAUAAGGUCUUUAUGGAUAGCUGGUAAGUUGGUAAUAGAUGAACUCAUCACCAAAUAAUUCAUGGCUCCAACUAUGUAUAAAUCUUCUAUUUAUGUUGUGUUAGGUGUCAUUUGAAAGAUGCAGUUCUUGAAGGAGGAAUUCCAUUCAACAAGGCCCAUGGCAUGCAGGUGUUCGAGUACCCUGGAUUAAACCCAAGAUUCAAUCAAGUCUUCAACAGAGCAAUGUUCGAUCACACGACAAUAGUAAUGAAAAAAAUACUAGAGACAUACAAAGGUUUUGAGAACCACAAAGAGAUUAUCGAUGUGGGCGGUGGGGUUGGAACCACAAUUAGCUUAAUCACUGCUAAAUAUCCUACAAUUAAGGGUAUUAACUUUGAUUUGCCACACGUCAUAGAACAUGCACCAUCUUAUCCUGGUAUUGUAUUUUUGUUCAAUUUAAUUUAUAUAUGGUUAACCAUGAACAUUUUUUUGGCAUGGUGCAAGUCAUGUAAUUCUGACAUGUUUUUCCCAGGAGUGGAACAUGUUGGUGGAGAUAUGUUUGAAAGUGUUCCCAACGCUGAAGCCAUUUUCAUGAAG